This 92-nucleotide small RNA is filed under the name Liquorilactobacillus ghanensis DSM 18630. Its description in RNAcentral is "Lactobacillus ghanensis DSM 18630 RNA anti-toxin A". It matches the Rfam family "RNA anti-toxin A". Lineage: Bacteria; Bacillati; Bacillota; Bacilli; Lactobacillales; Lactobacillaceae. The record is from Rfam by way of RNAcentral.
UAAUGUGAGUAAGAAAAAGGAAGCCUUGCGCCAACAAGACUUCCCAUGCAAGCCGCUUCAAAGGCGGUGGCCUAGAUUUACAAAACUACAUU